UUAAAGGCUUUUUUCUUGUCAUUGUGAAAAAAGCUUAGAAAGCCAUCAAAUUUUAAGUGAAGAAAUUGU
Molecule: non-coding RNA, 69 nt
Organism: Podiceps cristatus (great crested grebe)
Lineage: Eukaryota; Metazoa; Chordata; Aves; Podicipediformes; Podicipedidae
Source: Rfam